CCUCAAGCUCCCAUGGGGUUCAGCCAAUGAAGAUAAGAAGAAAGAGAGAUUGAGGUCAUCCAGUGAUACUGAUGAAAUAUUCCACCGGAGGGAGAAUUAAAUCCCUGUCUAGCCUCCUUGCCCGCAGGAAGUUGACGGAAGAGGGAUUGACCUGAAGGAUCAAGGGGUAUGCAGUCCAAGUGGGAAUGUAACAUGCAUGAGGUGGAGGGACUGAACCUCAGUCAGAUGGAGUGAAUGCUUCAGGUCACACAGCGAAAGAGUCCUGGGUGAAAACCCAGUGCUACCAGAAUGCAGUCUUUUCUCUCCACCACACUGUACCUCCCACAGCCCUCUUUGUUUUAGAGCAAGGCCAUUUCAGGGAAGCCUUGCCAUACCCGAUCUCCACAGGCAGCUCUCACCAACUGUGCUUCAAGUGCAUGGUCAUUCCAGAGCCUGGACGGAACGGGCACUCCUGGUGCUAUGGCCUCACUGCCUACAAAGCUAAGUGCACAGGUAGGGACAGGGUGCUUCCUUCGCUCCUGUGGUGAUCUGGAGACACAGAUCAACCCAGUGUGAAUGGAACCAGGCAGAGCUGCCCACCAAAAUAAAAGUGUGGCCAAAACCCAGCCCUGCUUGUGGGUGAACAAAAAACAUGCCCUCCAGCCACAACUGCAUUCACAGAGCUUCCGGGGAUGGCUCUUACCUGGGGCUGCUCCAUAUGGAAACAUAAUCCAUAGCUUGGCUCCCACAAAUAUGCUUAUCCCACGUGCUACAUAUGGAAGGAGAAAUCAGCUUGUAUUUCAUUAAACAGUUUGGCUCAGGUCUUGUGAGCAAAUAUUAGAAUCUGCACUUGGUACAGAGUCGUAAAUGCAUUGUUAGCA
Molecule: long non-coding RNA, 860 nt
Filed under: Pan troglodytes (chimpanzee)
Lineage: Eukaryota; Metazoa; Chordata; Mammalia; Primates; Hominidae
Description: long non-coding RNA NONPTRT005740
Source: RNAcentral